This 253-nucleotide ribosomal RNA is filed under the name uncultured bacterium. Its description in RNAcentral is "partial 16S ribosomal RNA". It matches the Rfam family "Bacterial small subunit ribosomal RNA", at positions 524 to 776 of the family's 1533-position model. The record is from RNAcentral.
UACGGAGGAGGCAAGCGUUAUCCGGAAUUAUUGGGCGUAAAGCGUCCGCAGGUGGCUAUGUAAGUCUGCUGUUAAAGAGUGAGGCUCAACCUCAUAAAAGCAGUGGAAACUACAUGGCUAGAGUGCGUUCGGGGCAGAGGGAAUUCCAGGUGUAGCGGUGAAAUGCGUAGAUAUCUGGAGGAACACCGGUGGCGAAGGCGGCAUCCUGGACCAACACUGACGCUGAGGAGCGAAAGCCAGGGGAGCAAACGGG